RNAcentral lists this long non-coding RNA (542 nucleotides) under Numida meleagris (helmeted guineafowl). RNAcentral describes it as "lncRNA (ENSNMEG00000007716.1)". Lineage: Eukaryota; Metazoa; Chordata; Aves; Galliformes; Numididae. The record is from RNAcentral.
ACUUGACCAAGACGGGUACUGUGUAGACAAAUGCAAAGACAAGUUUCCUUUACAAAAGGAACCAUUUAUUUUCAGGGCAAGAAAUAAGAGAGACCUUUCUUUAAAAAAACAACAACAACAACAACAAAAAAACCAACAACAACAACAACAAAAAACAAGAAGAAGAAGAAGAAGAAGAAAAAUAAAACAUUAACAUUUGACUUGGGAAGAAGCCAGUGUCAACAUGACCGAUGAUGGGAACACUGAUGAUGUGCUGGGUGCGUCUCCCAAAUUCUGGAACAAGUAGAAGCCUGCUAAAUGGAGCUGACAAAAGAGCCUGACAAAAGAGCUCACCUAGCAAGAAAACUCACUCCAGGGAAUUAGGAAAAAACAACAACAUAACUUGUCAGCUGAUCAUAUUCUCUUGUGUCUGCACAGAUUUCAAAUUGAAGUAGUACCAAAAUUUGCUGUUGCAAGUGAACAUUCUGGGUAUUCCUGAUAUGAAAAAGCAUGAGGAUGUUUAUUUUCCUCAGUAACAUUCCAAGCAAUUCUUUGUUCUCUUU